This 980-nucleotide ribosomal RNA is filed under the name Entomortierella jenkinii. RNAcentral describes it as "eukaryotic LSU rRNA". It matches the Rfam family "Eukaryotic large subunit ribosomal RNA", at positions 92 to 933 of the family's 3401-position model. Lineage: Eukaryota; Fungi; Mortierellomycota; Mortierellomycetes; Mortierellales; Mortierellaceae. The record is from RNAcentral.
AGUGAAGCGGGAUGAGCUCAAAUUUAAAAUCUGGCUGGUUUACUAGUCCGAAUUGUAGUUUAAAGAAGCGUUUUCGGUGGCAGUCUCGGUAUAAAUCCUUUGGAAUAGGGUAUCAUAGAGGGUGAGAAUCCCGUCUUUGACUGAGAAUUUGCUACUAUGUGAUACGUUUUCAAAGAGUCGAGUUGUUUGGGAAUGCAGCUCAAAAUGGGUGGUAAAUUUCAUCUAAAGCUAAAUAUUGGCGAGAGACCGAUAGCGAACAAGUACCGUGAGGGAAAGAUGAAAAGAACUUUGAAAAGAGAGUUAAACAGUGCGUGAAAUUGUUGAAAGGGAAACGCUUGAAACCAGUCAUGUAGUUGGAAAAUCAGUGUUCAAUUGGGGGGAAUGGGGGAGGUGUGGACCGCAAGGCUGCUCUUUUCUAUAUCUCUUUUGUUGGGCAUGCACUUUUUCUUCCGCAGGUCAACAUCAGUUUCUUCUGCUGGACAAAACUCUUGAGAAGGUAGCAGCUUAGGCUGUGUUAUAGCUCUGGAGCGAUACAGUGGAGGGGACUGAGGUUUUCGCAGCAUGUGCUCUCGGGCAAGGCCAAUUGGGUGCUAUGGGAUCGUUCGGGGUACAAUACAUGUAUUUUGCUUCGUGUCUUUUCUAUACUCGUUCAAUUGAGCUCUUCCAUGCUUAGGAUGUUGACUUAAUGGUUUUAAUCGACCCGUCUUGAAACACGGACCAAGGAGUCUAACAUAUAUGCAAGUGUUUGGGUGGCAAACCCAUGCGCGUAAUGAAAGUGAACGUAGGUGCCAUCCGCAAGGUGCAGCAUCGACCGAUCUUGAUAUUUUUGGAUAGAUUUGAGUAAGAGCAUAUAUGCUGGGACCCGAAAGAUGGUGAACUAUGCCUGAAUAGGGUGAAGCCAGAGGAAACUCUGGUGGAGGCUCGUAGCGAUUCUGACGUGCAAAUCGAUCGUCAAAUUUGGGUAUAGGGGCGAAAGACUA